RNAcentral lists this ribosomal RNA (253 nucleotides) under uncultured bacterium. Its description in RNAcentral is "partial 16S ribosomal RNA". It matches the Rfam family "Archaeal small subunit ribosomal RNA", at positions 474 to 727 of the family's 1478-position model. The record is from RNAcentral.
UACCAGCACCCCGAGUGGUCGGGACGAUUAUUGGGCCUAAAGCAUCCGUAGCCGGUUCUACAAGUCUUCCGUUAAAUCCACCUGCUUAACAGAUGGGCUGCGGAGGAUACUAUGGAGCUAGGAGGCGGGAGAGGCAAGCGGUACUUAGUGGGUAGGGGUAAAAUCCGUUGAUCCAUUGAAGACCACCAGUGGCGAAGGCGGCUUGCCAGAACGCACUCGACGGUGAGGGAUGGAAGCUGGGGGAGCAAACCGG